CGCACAUUGCGCCCCUUGGUAUUCCGGGGGGCAUGCCCGUUCGAGCGUCAUUUCACCAAUCAAGCCCGGCUUGGUAUUGGGUCACGGGGGCGACCCGGACCCCAAAGUCUUUCGGCUGGAAAAUCCUUGAUCGCAGCGUCGUGGUUAAUCAAAUUCGCUGGCGAGAUGGGCGUUCCGUGCCGUUAAAUGUUAAUCAAAGGUUGACCUCGGAUCGGGCAGGGAUACCCGCUGAACUUAA
RNAcentral lists this unclassified non-coding RNA (238 nucleotides) under Capnodiales sp. Its description in RNAcentral is "partial contains 5.8S ribosomal RNA, internal transcribed spacer 2, and large subunit ribosomal RNA". The record is from RNAcentral. Lineage: Eukaryota; Fungi; Ascomycota; Dothideomycetes; Capnodiales.